CCAGACUCCUACGGGAGGCAGCAGUGGGGAAUAUUGCACAAUGGGGGAAACCCUGAUGCAGCAACGCCGCGUGAGUGAGGAAGUAUUUCGGUAUGUAAAGCUCUAUCAGCAGGGAAUAGAAAAGAAGGUACCUGAAAAAGAAGCCCCGGCUAACUACGUGCCAGCAGCCGCGGUAAUACGUAGGGGGCAAGCGUUAUCCGGAUUUACUGGGUGUAAAGGGAGCGUAGACGGCUAUGCAAGUCUGGAGUGAAAGGCGGGGGCCCAACCCCCGGACUGCUCUGGAAACUGUAGAGCUAGAGUGCAGGAGAGGUAAGUGGAAUUCCUAGUGUAGCGGUGAAAUGCGUAGAUAUUAGGAGGAACACCAGUGGCGAAGGCGGCUUACUGGACUGUAACUGACGUUGAGGCUCGAAAGCGUGGGGAGCAAACAGGAUUAGAUACCCGAGUACG
RNAcentral lists this ribosomal RNA (447 nucleotides) under uncultured bacterium. RNAcentral's name for it is "bacterial SSU rRNA". It matches the Rfam family "Bacterial small subunit ribosomal RNA", at positions 331 to 793 of the family's 1533-position model. The record is from RNAcentral.